UCCGGUAUAGUGUAACGGCUAACAUAUCGCGUUUUCAUGUACCUAGCGUGGAGAAAACACCGCGGGGCUCGGGGUUCGAUUCCCCGUACCGGAG
Molecule: non-coding RNA, 94 nt
Organism: Poronia punctata
Lineage: Eukaryota; Fungi; Ascomycota; Sordariomycetes; Xylariales; Xylariaceae
Source: the annotation of a GenBank genome assembly